UACGGGGGGGGCAAGCGUUGUUCGGAAUUACUGGGCGUAAAGGGUUUGUAGGUGGCUUGCUAAGUCAGACGUGAAAUCCCUCAGCUUAACUGGGGAACUGCGUCUGAGACUGGCAGGCUUGAGUGCAGGAGAGGAACGCGGAAUUCCAGGUGUAGCGGUGAAAUGCGUAGAUAUCUGGAGGAACACCGGUGGCGAAGGCGGCGUUCUGGACUGCAACUGACGCUGAGGCGCGAAAGCUAGGGGAGCAAACGGG
RNAcentral lists this ribosomal RNA (253 nucleotides) under uncultured bacterium. RNAcentral's name for it is "partial 16S ribosomal RNA". It matches the Rfam family "Bacterial small subunit ribosomal RNA", at positions 524 to 776 of the family's 1533-position model. The record is from RNAcentral.